AGGUCCUUGUGCGGCGCGUCCUGCAGGUUCUGGUCCUGCGUGUAGGCGUGGAUCGUCGUCAUGAGGCCCUU
RNAcentral lists this transfer RNA (71 nucleotides) under Terrabacter tumescens. RNAcentral's name for it is "tRNA-Gln". RNAcentral also lists the same sequence under 1 other name. Lineage: Bacteria; Bacillati; Actinomycetota; Actinomycetes; Micrococcales; Intrasporangiaceae. The record is from RNAcentral.